AACGUAGGGGGCAAGCGUUGUCCGGAAUUACUGGGCGUAAAGAGCUCGUAGGCGGUCUGGUAAGUCAGGUGUAAAAGGCAACGGCUCAACCGUUGUUAGGCACCUGAUACUGCUGGACUUGAGGGCAGGAGAGGAGAGUGGAAGUCCCGGUGUAGCGGUGAAAUGCGUAGAUAUCGGGAGGAACACCAGUGGCGAAGGCGGCUCUCUGGCCUGAACCUGACGCUGAGGAGCGAAAGCCAGGGGAGCAAACCGG
This 253-nucleotide ribosomal RNA is filed under the name uncultured bacterium. RNAcentral's name for it is "partial 16S ribosomal RNA". It matches the Rfam family "Bacterial small subunit ribosomal RNA", at positions 524 to 776 of the family's 1533-position model. The record is from RNAcentral.